UACGUAGGGUGCAAGCGUUAAUCGGAAUUACUGGGCGUAAAGCGUGCGCAGGCGGCUUUGCAAGACAGAUGUGAAAUCCCCGGGCUUAACCUGGGAACUGCAUUUGUGACUGCAUGGCUAGAGUGCGGCAGAGGGGGAUGGAAUUCCGCGUGUAGCAGUGAAAUGCGUAGAUAUGCGGAGGAACACCGAUGGCGAAGGCAAUCCCCUGGGCCUGCACUGACGCUCAUGCACAAAAGCGUGGGGAGCAAACAGG
Molecule: ribosomal RNA, 253 nt
Filed under: uncultured bacterium
Lineage: Bacteria
Description: partial 16S ribosomal RNA
Rfam family: Bacterial small subunit ribosomal RNA
Source: RNAcentral